Non-coding RNA from Hirsutella rhossiliensis, 88 nucleotides. The record is from the annotation of a RefSeq genome assembly. NCBI's taxonomy places the organism in Eukaryota, Fungi, Ascomycota, Sordariomycetes, Hypocreales, Ophiocordycipitaceae.
UCCGGUAUGGUGUAGUGGCUAACAUCGCUCGCUCUCAACAAGCGUUGAUUAAACCGAGCAGCCCUGGGUUCGAUUCCCAGUACCGGAG